GACGAACGCUGGCGGCGCGCUUAACACAUGCAAGUCGAGCGAUGAAAUCUUAACAGCACCCUUCGGGGUGAAGAUAAGACGGAUUAGCGGCGGACGGGUGAGUAACACGUGAGUAACCUGCCUUUUACACAGGGAUAGCCUCAGGAAACCGGGAUUAAAACCUGAUGAAAAUAUCAAAUCACAUGAUUCAGUAAGUUAAAACUCCGGUGGUAAAAGAUGGACUCGCGUCCCAUUAGCUAGUUGGUGCAGGUAACGGCCCACCAAAGCAACGAUGGGUAGCCUGGCAGAGAGAGAGAGCGGCCACAUUGGAACGAAGAAACGGUCCAAACUCCUACGGGAUGCAGCAGAGGGGAAUAUUGCACAAUGGGGGAAACCCUGAUGCAGCUAGGCCGCGUGAGCGAAGAAGGCCUGCGGGUCGUAAAGCUCUUUUAUAUGGGAAGAUAAUGACGGUACCAUAAGAAAAAGCCCCGGCUAACUACGUG
This 482-nucleotide ribosomal RNA is filed under the name uncultured bacterium. RNAcentral's name for it is "partial 16S ribosomal RNA". It matches the Rfam family "Bacterial small subunit ribosomal RNA", at positions 28 to 507 of the family's 1533-position model. The record is from RNAcentral.